Oryctes borbonicus is the source of this 46-nucleotide non-coding RNA. The record is from Rfam. NCBI's taxonomy places the organism in Eukaryota, Metazoa, Arthropoda, Insecta, Coleoptera, Scarabaeidae.
UAAUCGGUUUUUCUAAAAACUACUACCAUCACCAUUUGUGUUGUAU